RNAcentral lists this ribosomal RNA (461 nucleotides) under uncultured bacterium. RNAcentral describes it as "partial 16S ribosomal RNA". It matches the Rfam family "Bacterial small subunit ribosomal RNA", at positions 337 to 795 of the family's 1533-position model. The record is from RNAcentral.
GCCUACGGGGUGCAGCAGUGAGGAAUAUUGGUCAAUGGACGAGAGUCUGAACCAGCCAAGUAGCGUGAAGGAUGACUGCCCUAUGGGUUGUAAACUUCUUUUAUAUGGGAAUAAAACAGGGUAUGCAUACCCUCUUGUAUGUACCAUAUGAAUAAGGAUCGGCUAACUCCGUGCCAGCAGCCGCGGUAAUACGGAGGAUCCGAGCGUUAUCCGUAUUUAUUGGGUUUAAAGGGAGCGUAGGCGGGUUGUUAAAUCAGUUGUGAAAGUUUGCGGCUCAACCGUAAAAUUGCAGUUGAUACUGGCAUCCUUGAGUACAGUAGAGGUAGGCGGAAUUCGUGGUGUAGCGGUGAAAUGCUUAGAUAUCACGAAGAACUCCGAUUGCGAAGGCAGCCUGCUGGACUGUAACUGACGCUGAUGCUCGAAAGUGUGGGUAUCAAACAGGAUUAGAUACCCCUGUAGUC